This 637-nucleotide ribosomal RNA is filed under the name uncultured Comamonadaceae bacterium. Its description in RNAcentral is "bacterial SSU rRNA". It matches the Rfam family "Bacterial small subunit ribosomal RNA", at positions 897 to 1533 of the family's 1533-position model. Lineage: Bacteria; Pseudomonadati; Pseudomonadota; Betaproteobacteria; Burkholderiales; Comamonadaceae. The record is from RNAcentral.
AAACUCAAAUGAAUUGACGGGGACCCGCACAAGCGGUGGAUGAUGUGGUUUAAUUCGAUGCAACGCGAAAAACCUUACCCACCUUUGACAUGUACGGAAUCCUUUAGAGAUAGAGGAGUGCUCGAAAGAGAGCCGUAACACAGGUGCUGCAUGGCUGUCGUCAGCUCGUGUCGUGAGAUGUUGGGUUAAGUCCCGCAACGAGCGCAACCCUUGCCAUUAGUUGCUACGAAAGGGCACUCUAAUGGGACUGCCGGUGACAAACCGGAGGAAGGUGGGGAUGACGUCAAGUCCUCAUGGCCCUUAUAGGUGGGGCUACACACGUCAUACAAUGGCUGGUACAGAGGGUUGCCAACCCGCGAGGGGGAGCUAAUCCCACAAAGCCAGUCGUAGUCCGGAUCGCAGUCUGCAACUCGACUGCGUGAAGUCGGAAUCGCUAGUAAUCGCGGAUCAGAAUGUCGCGGUGAAUACGUUCCCGGGUCUUGUACACACCGCCCGUCACACCAUGGGAGCGGGUUCUGCCAGAAGUAGUUAGCCUAACCGCAAGGAGGGCGAUUACCACGGCAGGGUUCGUGACUGGGGUGAAGUCGUAACAAGGUAGCCGUAUCGGAAGGUGCGGCUGGAUCACCUCCUUUAUGAG